UGGGUUGUAGCUCUGUGGUAGAGUGCUUGCCUAACAAGCGUGAGGCACUGGGUUCGAUCCUCAGCACCACAU
RNAcentral lists this transfer RNA (72 nucleotides) under Ictidomys tridecemlineatus (thirteen-lined ground squirrel). RNAcentral's name for it is "Spermophilus tridecemlineatus (thirteen-lined ground squirrel) tRNA". It matches the Rfam family "tRNA". Rfam says of the family: Transfer RNA (tRNA) molecules are approximately 80 nucleotides in length. Their secondary structure includes four short double-helical elements and three loops (D, anti-codon, and T loops). The record is from Rfam by way of RNAcentral. Lineage: Eukaryota; Metazoa; Chordata; Mammalia; Rodentia; Sciuridae. RNAcentral also lists the same sequence under 1 other name.